AUUGAACGCUGGCGGCAGGCUUAACACAUGCAAGUCGAACGGUAGCAGGAGGAAGCUUGCUUUCUUGCUGACGAGCGGCGGACGGGUGAGUAAUGCUUGGGAAUCUGGCUUAUGGAGGGGGAUAACUACGGGAAACUGUAGCUAAUACCGCGUAGAAUCGGAAGAUGAAAGUGCGGGACCGCAAGGCCGCAUGCCAUGAGAUGAGCCCAAGUGGGAUUAGGUAGUUGGUGGGGUAAAGGCCUACCAAGCCUGCGAUCUCUAGCUGGUCUGAGAGGAUGGCCAGCCACACUGGAACUGAGACACGGUCCAGACUCCUACGGGAGGCAGCAGUGGGGAAUAUUGCGCAAUGGGGGAAACCCUGACGCAGCCAUGCCGCGUGAAUGAAGAAGGCCUUCGGGUUGUAAAGUUCUUUCGGUAUUGAGGAAGGUUGAUGUGUUAAUAGUACAUCAAAUUGACGUUAAAUACAGAAGAAGCACCGGCUAACUCCGUGCCAGCAGCCGCGGUAAUACGGAGGGUGCGAGCGUUAAUCGGAAUAACUGGGCGUAAAGGGCACGCAGGCGGUUAUUUAAGUGAGGUGUGAAAGCCCCGGGCUUAACCUGGGAAUUGCAUUUCAGACUGGGUAACUAGAGUACUUUAGGGAGGGGUAGAAUUCCACGUGUAGCGGUGAAAUGCGUAGAGAUGUGGAGGAAUACCGAAGGCGAAGGCAGCCCCUUGGGAAUGUACUGACGCUCAUGUGCGAAAGCGUGGGGAGCAAACAGG
RNAcentral lists this ribosomal RNA (759 nucleotides) under Haemophilus influenzae. RNAcentral describes it as "bacterial SSU rRNA". It matches the Rfam family "Bacterial small subunit ribosomal RNA", at positions 28 to 776 of the family's 1533-position model. The record is from RNAcentral. Lineage: Bacteria; Pseudomonadati; Pseudomonadota; Gammaproteobacteria; Pasteurellales; Pasteurellaceae.